ACGGAAGGCAGCAGUGGGGAAUAUUGCACAAUGGGCGCAAGCCUGAUGCAGCGACGCCGCGUGAGCGAAGAAGUAUUUCGGUAUGUAAAGCUCUAUCAGCAGGGAAGAAAAUGACGGUACCUGGCUAAGAAGCUCCGGCUAAAUACGUGCCAGCAGCCGCGGUAAUACGUAUGGAGCAAGCGUUAUCCGGAUUUACUGGGUGUAAAGGGAGCGUAGACGGAACAGCAAGUCUGAUGUGAAAGGCAGGGGCUCAACUCCUGGACUGCAUUGGAAACUGUUGAUCUUGAGUGCCGGAGAGGUAAGCGGAAUUCCUAGUGUAGCGGUGAAAUGCGUAGAUAUUAGGAGGAACACCAGUGGCGAAGGCGGCUUACUGGACGGUAACUGACGUUGAGGCUCGAAAGCGUGGGGAGCAAACAGGAUUAGAUACCCUGGUA
RNAcentral lists this ribosomal RNA (434 nucleotides) under uncultured Lachnospiraceae bacterium. RNAcentral's name for it is "partial 16S ribosomal RNA". It matches the Rfam family "Bacterial small subunit ribosomal RNA", at positions 341 to 792 of the family's 1533-position model. The record is from RNAcentral. Lineage: Bacteria; Bacillati; Bacillota; Clostridia; Lachnospirales; Lachnospiraceae.